RNAcentral lists this unclassified non-coding RNA (235 nucleotides) under uncultured fungus. RNAcentral describes it as "sequence contains ITS1, 5.8S rRNA gene". The record is from RNAcentral. Lineage: Eukaryota; Fungi.
GUAUUUUUAUUAUUUUCAAUCCAACAUUCUGACAACAUUCUGAAAUUGUAAAACAACAUAGACCCGGAAAAAUUGCAAGGAAAGCACACAGUGCAAUCCUCAAUCCAGGGUCUACAAUAUGUGCACAGUUGGGGAGAAAUAAAGACGACAAGCGUGCACUUGCCCCAGAGGGCCAGCAAAACAGCCUGUUCAAGCUUAUUCAAUAAUGAUCCUUCCGCAGGUUCACCUACGGAAA